RNAcentral lists this ribosomal RNA (431 nucleotides) under uncultured bacterium. RNAcentral's name for it is "bacterial SSU rRNA". It matches the Rfam family "Bacterial small subunit ribosomal RNA", at positions 29 to 506 of the family's 1533-position model. The record is from RNAcentral.
ACGAACGCUGGCGGCAUGCCUAACACAUGCAAGUCGAACGAGACCUUCGGGUCUAGUGGCGCACGGGUGCGUAACGCGUGGGAAUCUGCCCCUUGGUUCGGAAUAACAGUUAGAAAUGACUGCUAAUACCGGAUGAUGACGAAAGUCCAAAGAUUUAUCGCCGAGGGAUGAGCCCGCGUAGGAUUAGCUAGUUGGUGAGGUAAAGGCUCACCAAGGCGACGAUCCUUAGCUGGUCUGAGAGGAUGAUCAGCCACACUGGGACUGAGACACGGCCCAGACUCCUACGGGAGGCAGCAGUGGGGAAUAUUGGACAAUGGGCGAAAGCCUGAUCCAGCAAUGCCGCGUGAGUGAUGAAGGCCUUAGGGUCGUAAAGCUCUUUUACCAGGGAUGAUAAUGACAGUACCUGGAGAAUAAGCUCCGGCUAACUCCGU